UGGUGACUAUGAUGAUGAUGAUGAUGAUGACGAUGAUGAUGAUUAUCAUUAUCAUCAUUAUUAUCAUCAGUAGUA
This 75-nucleotide microRNA precursor is filed under the name Glossina brevipalpis. RNAcentral's name for it is "microRNA mir-598". Lineage: Eukaryota; Metazoa; Arthropoda; Insecta; Diptera; Glossinidae. The record is from RNAcentral.